RNAcentral lists this long non-coding RNA (1669 nucleotides) under Mus musculus (house mouse). RNAcentral describes it as "long non-coding RNA chr2:100523118-100524787". The record is from RNAcentral. Lineage: Eukaryota; Metazoa; Chordata; Mammalia; Rodentia; Muridae.
CUUAAGUUUUAAAGAAAAAAAAAUUCUAUUGGUUCUAAAUGUCACAAUUCUCCAAUAAUUUGCACUAUUCAACUUUGGUGGUAUUGGCAGGGCUGGUUCCUUCUAUAGAAGGUGUUUUUCUUGCUUAUUUCAGCUUCCAGGGUUCACCUAUCCUCUGUCUGUAACCCCCUCCCAUGUCUUUAAAUUGUACCCCCCUGUUCAAUACUUUUAUAUCAUAUCCUUUUUCUGACUUCUGCAUUACUUUAUUAGAAUCAUUGUGAUGAUGGCAAGCCAACUUCACAAUCAGGGAGAGCCUUCAUUUUACCUGCUUUAAUUACAACUACAAUGUGCUUUUUACUCUCUGCUAUAAUAGGUACAGCUUUAGUAGGGUUAGGGUUUGCUGGACAGUAUUGUAAAAAUAAAAAAAAAUAAUAAACAAAAAAAGACACAAACACACACACACACACAAGAGUAAAAUGUAGUUACCUAGUUACCUAUAGAGUUUAUUUCAUUUUUCCAUAUGCAGAUAAUUUACUGGGUGAGAGGCAGAGCUAAAUAUAAAUAAAUUCAAAUAGAACUGAGGAUGAUUUUCUCUUUUCAUUAUUUACAACUGAUGCAGAGUCUGUGCUUUAAUACUCUGAAUAUUUUCACACUUGAAUUGACUAAACAAAGCAGGAUUUAAAGUGAUAAUUUCACAGUCUGACUGCAUUCAAAGUCUGGUGCUUUUGAUAUUUAAGAGGUCACGAAUAAUGUCACUUUUUAAUGAUGUUUGAGUGUUUUUUGGAUUUAUAAACUCAUCUGCUGUGAUGUUAUUAUCCAAAGCAAUAAAAGGUUUAUUCUUCUGAAUGGCAGCAUCUAAGGCAGGAGUCUCUAAACAUUGAUUUUUGGUCUGAGGCUCCAUGGAGAUUUCACUUGUCUGGGAUGAAUGAGGAAGAUAAGUGAAAAUGUAACAGUUCCUCAUAAAACUAAUACAUUCAGGUUUAUGACUCUUCUGUGCACUUAGUUCUUUCCCAAACAAUAUAAAAUAAAAAUAAAAACAUCUAUUCCCUUGAAAAAUAGGAAAAUUUACUAAAAUUUACUGAUCAAGUGGAUACAUUACACAGAAUGUAAAUUAUAGCUCAAUACAUUUAUUUUGAAAAGUAAGUUGAUUUCAGAAGUAAUGCCAUGAGGCAUUCUCUGGUGAGAUAUAGUUCCUUAAAAUGUAUAUGCUGACACAAAAUUAACAAGGAAAGAUGUACACAGGAUAGUUGUUCAAUGAUUGAACUAUUUAAAAGUUAUGUUUAAAUGAAUACUUGUAAAAAGAUAAAUAUUAAAUGCCACAUUUUCUUACUAAAUGGGGAGAGUUGAUGGGCUGACAAGAUGUCUCAAUAAGUGACAGCUUGCUGCCAACCUUGAUGAUUUGAGUUCAGCACCCUAAAAGCCAAAUUAUAGGGAAGACUCAAUUCUCUGCAACUUUGUCUCAGACCUUCACACCAAUGCAGAAGCAUGGGUCCAUGUGACUAAAUAAAUAAUUAAUCAAAUAAAUAAAUUGGCUAUAUGUUCAUGGGAGAUUUCAUUAAUAAGUAAAUAAAGCAAGGCAGUGAAAAUGAAGAAAUUAUAUAUUACUUUUAUUAGUAUGAAAGCUGUCACAACAACUUACUUAGGGAAAGGUUUAAUUUAACUCAUUACUUAAGCAAGCAAUUCCAUUAUG